Molecule: long non-coding RNA, 3595 nt
Organism: Oreochromis aureus
Lineage: Eukaryota; Metazoa; Chordata; Actinopteri; Cichliformes; Cichlidae
Exons: 3
Source: RefSeq, a predicted model, not a curated record
UCUUUAAUGAAUGUAAAUAUUGGAUUAGUCUAUAACUAGAAAAACAAUCAAGAAUCAGCCCAGAUUGACUGCUGAAUGCUCUGAGCACAAUGACUUAGUUACUAUGUCACUCUCAAUGUUAUUUAUGCAGCAUAUUUAAUUACAUUAAAAUGUAUUUUCCAUAACAGAUAAAAACAUAAAAAACAACUAUUACAAUGAACUCAGAUGUUUACUUCAUGUUUCACUAGCUGCAGUCAUCCCAUGCAAGAGAAAAAAGUGUGAUCUGCAACAAUAAUGUUGAUAAAAAAAAACAAUGUGUUAAUCUUGCCCAGGGCCACAGAUGCCUAGAUAUAGCCCACACCUUUUCUGAUGAAAACACUCCACAAAUUCAUAUGAAUUCCUAUCUGAUAUGAUUUGCGUGGCUGAAACAACACCAUAAACAUUAUUCUACCUCCUGCUUGUAUUCCGAGGUGCUAGAACAACAACUUUCUGUUGUACAACAUGAAAUUACAGGUUAGUAAUGUAAAUUACGACUUCUUACAAUUCAUAGGAUUGCACUGUUGUAUUGUAAAAAUAGAUCUGAACUAUUUUCUUUUAUUUCUUCCUUUUAAAACACAUGCAAACACAGCUUCUAAGUAACACAAUUGGUAGUCUUGAGCGGUCCAGGAGACUAAGCACAGACCUCCAAGGCUGUCUGUUGAGCAGAGAAGUCUGAAUGAUGGAUGCAUUGAAAUUGCCCCUCUUUUCUUCAGAGUCUCGCCCACAAAGGGUCUGUUUCCCAUUCAGGACACAAGGUCAUUAGAUAAUACACACGAAGAUCUCAAGGCCACACAGUGGGGGCAGGAUCAUUCAGCACAACAAGCCUCCGCGAAAACUCCUCGAUGCCUUAACUCAGUAGUCUCUGCAGGAAGCAUAUGCACAUCCAGAAACAAAUAUACUGACAUGAAAGCUCACAUGCACAUUGAAAUUUCACAGACGGUCACACACGCACACGGAUGGGCUCAAUAGUUUGUCAGUGGGAAUCAUGACAUCAUCAUGUUCCCCUCCAACCUCUCUAUUCAGUCACAGCAGAAUUAUUUAUCCUUUGAAAGUGGGUUAAAUGAAUGCUUAGGAAUGUCCUUUUUCUUUCUUUCUUUUCUAUUUUUCCUCUGAUGUAAUCACAGGCAUAUGCAUCCAUACAUGUUUGUAGAAUUGUUUUAGGCACCUGGUUGGCAGAGACCCAAUCAAGAUUUUGUUAUUCAGCGAAACUGUGGGGGAAAUGCUCUCAAAUGAGGAACUGCUGGUUCAGUGAAGUGUCAGCAUGUAGCAGUUACCAUGGGACAAAAAGUUAUUCUGAACAUGGAAACUCUGAGAGGUUUGCCAAAAUUAAGAAAGAGUGGAAACUGAGCAAGUUAUGCUCUGGAUGGGGAAAAGUGUUUCCACUCCAUUCGUGAAGCUGUCAGAUUUCAGCUUGUCAUGGUUAACUCACAGCGCUCUGAAACUCAUUUCCUGAGUGGCGUCGUUAGUUCCAAAUUGAAGCCAGGAAGAAUGUAGAAAGAAAGUGGGCGGGGGAGAGAGGUUUGAGGCAGAGGGAGAUGAAACAGGGAUGGACCAAGUCUGUCCUCUACUUCCACUUGGGCACAUGCUUGAGCUGGGGCCUUGGAUUUUUUUUCUUCAUCAAAGUGAGUGGAUGUAAAGCGAGAGAGGAGUAUAUUUGCAUGUACUUAAUUUUAACUUUUAUAUAGCAAGCAACAACAUGCUCAUAUCAGAGGAUUACAAAAUACACAAGCACACACACAAUGUGUAUGAAAUUAAAAAAAAAAGAAAAAAAAAAGAGGAAGGCGACUACACAAUAAGACUGGCACUUAUUGUGUAGACUGGCAGAUCACCAUAGUGACAGAUCAGCCAAACCCUAUGACAAAAACACGGAAUGAGUCAAGUGUCAGAUGCUCAGGUUACAUGAGCAUGAUCUCAGUAAAGAAUUCUUAGAACUUAAUAAAUAUAUUUCUUUGUUUGUUCAUUAUUCUGUUCUAGAUCUGACAUUAAAAACAACUGAUUAACUUAAAUUUUUCUGAACUGUGAAUUUAGUUUGAAUAUGGGUUCUUCAUCUAGCUACACCCCCAGGCCUGUAAGAUUUCUCCUAAAACUUUGUUAGUCAUCUUCGCUAUUGCUCUACAUUAAUAAGUCUCGUUGCUCAUAUGGAGUUACUCAUGCAUGCAGUGCUGCCUUUCAAAUUAAGAGGCCUCUCCCUGAAAGACAACCCAUGUCAGGGAUCAGCACAUCUGCAGAAACACGAUCCGGUAAAGCCUCACAACUCCUGGGGGAGAAUAGCAAAGUCAUGGAGAUCCAGGUGCUGCGCACCGAGCCACACCAGCGGCCUGGCGUGCGUAAUGAAGGGCAAUUAAAAGUGGCACAUGUGCACCAAACUGACAUUCAAACAAAGCCAAAGAGGAGUGAAGAUAAUAUAGAAAAGUUCCAGAAAACUUCCAGAACUUCCAGGGAACUGGGCAACCUAAACCUGCUGACCUUGACGGUAACCAUACCCAGUGGGAUCUGGUUCAGCAACACUGUCCGAGGAGUAUCAACUCAAUGACAGCCUUUAACUUCCUCUCUGGUUAUGUCAGACACAUCCUGCACCCAGUAACCUCCUGAAGCUAAACCUCAGGUGAUUGCAUAAGAAGUCUGACUAAAUUUUACUACCCAGAAAAAUUUUAUAAGAAUUUUCUUGGGGCUCACUAGAAGAUGAGAAGAGUUAGUGCAGAAUCUUCAUUCUGUUAUGACAAAUUUGAGCCUUCAACCUACUGACACAACACCGAUACGCUGUGGUUUGCGUCAAACCACAAAAAACAGGAAGUCAGACUCAAAAAGUUCACGUCUGUGUGUCUUUGUAUGACUGCAUGUUUGUUUUCAUGUAUACGGGCUAUAGACAUAAAUAGCUCUCUCUAUGAUAAUCAGUGUAAAUCAUUACAUUUUAAGGCAAAUAAUAAUGCUUGUAUAUGAGUUAGGAUAAACCAAGCAGUACUCAUGUGCAGGAAAUUUGUAUAUACGGAGGUGCGGACGUGUGAAUUAUUAUGUAGGUCAAUUCUCAUGAACCUUACAGAGUUUCAACCACAUCUACAAGUAAGUAGAAGGUUUGUAGGUUAAUCUGAUAGCAUGGCUAAGAUAGCAUAAUGAAGCACUCAAACAGCAAUGCAAAUUUCUGCACAGUGUCAUUCCAGUUUCCCUUUAUCAAAUAACCAUAUCAAGAUACAAUGUUUCUCAAAAGUUUCUAAAAAAUAAAAUAAAAACAAAUAUCUAAUAUAGCUCAAGUGUUCUUUGCAUCUCUUUUCUAAAGAGCUUAUCCAAUUAAAGGUUGUUGACGGUUGCUACAAAUAGGCUUUGGUAGACACGUAAAUACCUUCUUAUUAUAAACAUAAAUUAUUUAAUAUUAGUCAUGCUAUUAGCUAUAAACUGGCAUUUACAACAUUUCUAAUCAAUUUCAUCAAGACCUUUUUUGAACAUUUGAAAUCAGCCUUAAAAAAAGCAUCUUGCCAGUUGUGAGUUACUACUGGGAAUUUAGCAGGAUUUAGGACACGGACACUCGAUCCCUUCUCAAAACUUAAAGGUAACUCCAUCCUCGACUUUUCCCCACUUUGUC